This 468-nucleotide ribosomal RNA is filed under the name uncultured bacterium. RNAcentral describes it as "partial 16S ribosomal RNA". It matches the Rfam family "Bacterial small subunit ribosomal RNA", at positions 28 to 507 of the family's 1533-position model. The record is from RNAcentral.
GACGAACGCUGGCGGCGUGCUUAACACAUGCAAGUCGAACGGAAAGGCCCUGCUUUUGUGGGGUGCUCGAGUGGCGAACGGGUGAGUAACACGUGAGUAACCUGCCCUUGACUUUGGGAUAACUUCAGGAAACUGGGGCUAAUACCGGAUAGGAGCUCCUGCUGCAUGGUGGGGGUUGGAAAGUUUCGGCGGUUGGGGAUGGACUCGCGGCUUAUCAGCUUGUUGGUGGGGUAGUGGCUUACCAAGGCUUUGACGGGUAGCCGGCCUGAGAGGGUGACCGGCCACAGUGGGACUGAGAGACGGCCCAGACGCCUACGGGAGGCAGCAGUGGGGAAUAUUGCACAAUGGGCGGAAGCCUGAUGCAGCAACGCCGCGUGCGGGAUGACGGCCUUCGGGUUGUAAACCGCUUUCGCCUGUGACGAAGCGUGAGUGACGGUAAUGGGUAAAGAAGCACCGGCUAACUACGUG